Molecule: ribosomal RNA, 89 nt
Filed under: uncultured bacterium
Lineage: Bacteria
Description: partial 16S ribosomal RNA
Source: RNAcentral
CCACAUCACGAAAGUGGAUUGUACUAGAAGUCUGCAGGCUGACCCGCAAGGGAGGCAGCGGCCCAAGGUAUGAUACCAUGAUUGGGGUG